UCCGGCUUGUCACCGGCAGUCUCCUUAGAGUUCCCGGCCGAACCGCUGGCAACUAAGGACAGGGGUUGCGCUCGUUGCGCCACUUAAGGCAACACCUCACGGCACGAGCUGACGACAGCCAUGCACCACCUGUGCGGGCUCCGAAGAGCACCGUGUUUCCACGGUUUCACCCCGCAUGUCAAGCCCAGGUAAAGUUCUUCGCGUCGCAUCGAAUUAAACCACAUGCUCCACCGCUUGUGCAGGCCCCCGUCAAUUUCUUUGAGUUUUAACCUUGCGGCCGUACUCCCCAGGCGGAUGACUUAACGCGUUAGCUGCGCCACCGAAACGCUAAGCGCCCCGACAGCUAGUCAUCAUCGUUUACGGCGUGGACUAC
Molecule: unclassified non-coding RNA, 373 nt
Filed under: uncultured bacterium
Lineage: Bacteria
Description: contains 16S-23S intergenic spacer region
Source: RNAcentral